Molecule: ribosomal RNA, 426 nt
Filed under: uncultured bacterium
Lineage: Bacteria
Description: bacterial SSU rRNA
Rfam family: Bacterial small subunit ribosomal RNA
Source: RNAcentral
GGGGAAUUUUGGACAAUGGGCGUAAGCCUGACUCAGCCAUGCCGCGUGCAGGAUGAAGGCCUUCGUGUUGUAAACUGCUUUUGUACUGAACGAAAAGACUCCUUCUAAUAAAGGGGGUCCAUGACGGUACCGUAAGAAUAAGCACCGGCUAACUACGUGCCAGCAUCCGCGGUAAUACGUAGGGUGCGGGCGUUAAUCGGAAUUACUUGGCGUAAAGCUUGCGCAGGCGGUUAUAUAAGACAGAUGUGAAAUCCCCGGGCCCAACCUGGGACCUGCAUUUGUGACUGUAUUGCUAGAGUACGGUAGAGGGGGGUGGAAUUCCGCGUGUAGCAGUGAAAUGCGUAGAUAUGCAGAGGAACACCGAUGGCGAAGGCAAUCCCCUGGACCUGUACUGACGCUCAUGCACGAAAGCGUGGGGAGCAAACA